CCGUUGAAAGCUGUGAACGUAUUCAUACUUUUACAAUGAGCCUAAAGAUACAACAAACGAGAACGAGUAGUUUGACUGCUAACUCAUCUCUCCAUUUUUUUUGGAGCUAGCUAACAAGUUGGACAAAAGUCAAGUACUGUGUAAUGAUUUGCCUUCUCUACUAUUGUAUAUUUUUUAAUCCUUAGAUAGAUUUCAGAGAGCUUUGGGAACAUGCAUCACCUGAGCCUGACAGCACUAGGAAAAUGUCAGAAAGGACCAUAUAUAUAUUAAGUGUUGGCAAAUAGCCAUGGUUGGUGGGGAAGAAAGAGCAAACAUUUAAACAAAUGGGGUAAGAAAGACACUAACGAUAGGAAGAGGAUGCAGAAGGCAAGCAAUCAUUUUGCAAACUCAGACCUAAUGGUUGUUAUGUGAAGUUUUAUGAUUCCACCUAGCAAUGAGCUUUCCUUUCUGCGUAAUGAGGGUGAUUUAAUGCUGCUUACCAGAACUCACCUUCAGAGGCACAGGGCUUGGAGCCUUUCCAGGAGAGGAGGUCUCUCCCUGGGUACCUUUACAAAUGCAUAGUAGUGUUUCAUGUGUUUCUUCUCUUCUUCCACAGACAGAGCAGGCACGUCCAUACUGUCUUCAGCAUGCUCCCAAUGUGUGUGUGCAGUCCUGUGUUUAGUCGGCCACUAUCAGCAGAUCUCCUCCUCACAGGUGUUGGGAAAAAUUAUUCACCAGGAGCAAUGGAUGACUUUUCUUAGCAGUGCUCCCACCUGCCUCUAUGGAGGCAGAGAAGGGAUGAGUUUUGGUUGGAGAUGAGGCCUGGUCCCCCACUGUCCUUUGGGAAUGACCUCAGGUAUCUGCCACAGCUGGAGGCUCCUGCACUAGUGAAACCUCAGCCUCUCUGAUCCUACAAACAGCCCCUCAGAUUUAUAUUUUCUCUCUUUUAUUUUGGGCCGUGGGAUAGAUGAGGUCCAAAAAGGGCUAUCUCCUCAGUGUUUAACACUGUGAAACACAACAACAGGGAUCUGGUGGCUGCAGUGCGUGGGCUCCUGCUCAGUCUCUAGGAAACAGAUUGCUCUGCUGUAGUGAUGGUUGGGUCACUCUCUUAUGGAGGCUGAUGCCAGCCAAGAGUCUAUGUAAAUGUUUUGUUAAGCUUUUACCAGUCUGAAAGCAGAGUCCUAGGUUUGCUGGCAUCUUUGAAGGCUUUGGGAUGGUUUCUAACAGAUUAUCUUGAAACUCAGUAUUUCUGCGUGUACAUCUGAAUAACCUUUCCCAUUUCCAUCCAGAUUCAAGACAGAAGAAUGCUUCAAAAUGAGAAUGUUUUCUGGAAAAUAUUUCAUUGGGGUUGCUCUGACUUGAAAGCCAGCUUUACAUCACGUCUCUGAUCUGAUUCCUUGCAGGAAGGUGCCAGGGCCAGUUAUUAAUUGCACGCUGCCACAGUUCUGCACUGGGGUUAAAAUGACAACGUGGGCGUCAAUCACCCUGAUUUUGAUCUGGUAUAACAAUGCCCUGAAUGAGGAAAGGCCCACCAAAGUCCUGGUUUAGCUGGUUUUUCAUCCUCACUCUGUGUGUAAUCUCCGUCAAACAGAAGUGCCAUUUUUAACUGUAAUCUAAUCCUAUUUGCUGCUGUACUGGCACUGAGGGUAGCUCAUGUCAUCAGGCCACUGCAAACAUAAGCAAACGAGGCUUUGUUAGGUAAGUAAAUAUUUUCUCUGUUUGACGCAUGAAUGAAACGACACAGAUAUGAGUGAUUGACUGACACCAGAGAUGGCAGCCCCGUGGAUGCCCCCCGCCUGCCCUACUGCAGUCAGCAUUCUGCCCAUACACACCACAUAUAAUCAGUUUUUGUUUAUGCAAAACUUUAAAUGAGAGAGUGAUGCUUGUGAUUUGAACUGCAGUUCCUUCGACUCUUCUAACUUCUCCAUCUGAAACAGGGUACAGACAGCUAGUCAAUGUACACGCUAGGUGAGUCCUGUCACCAGCUUCCAGCCAUGCAAUCACAUCUCUUAGCAGCCAUAUAUGAAGAAGCAGAAACAGAUUAUUGAUUUAGCAAAACUUUUUCUUGAAAGACUGAAAUAGAGUUUGUACCUUGUUUGCCUUCCUUCUGUUUUGGCAGCUCAGCCUCCAACAGCUGUGGCUGCUCCCCUCCUGCUCCUAUAAGCCUGCACCUUGGCAGGGGGGGGGCUCCAGCAAUGAACAUUUCAGCCAUGAAUUUUCCUGCUUUCUCUCCCUGGGAAAACUGAAAGAGGCUCCGAAGAGAUUGGAAGAAGUUCCAAAGGGACCCUGAUGUCUUUCUUUAAGAGGUUGCCUGUGUAGCACUGCUGUUGAUUUUAUAUGGAUUGCUCUGAAAGUACUGCCACCCAUUUAUUUCCGUGGAAACCACAACAGAUACAAAAAGCACAACAACUAUUUGAUAGAACAAAUUCUCAGCUACAAAACACAAACAGAUAGAAGACAAAAGGUGCCAAACCCAGACUAUAUGGUGAGUGUGGUAGGACAGUGCAGCUAAGAUUGGCAAUGUUCUCCAUGAUCUUCAAACCGGCGUGGGGCCUGGUAUUAUCGUGUUGCAAGAGAAAGGUUGUCUUCUUCUCUGGAAUUUUGAGCCUUCAGCUUAGUCAGCAUUGCAAGGCAGUUAGCAGUCAGAGAUGGUUUCUUCAGAUUCCAGGAAAUCCAGAAGGAUUGCCUCUUUCCUCUCCCAAAAGAUGGUGCACAUCGUGUGUUACCAUUCCAUGGACUGCCAUAGUGACUCUGACUUGUAGUGGUGACACCACAUCUUGUCACUGGUAAUGAUGCAAUUCAGGACACAGUCUUGUGUCUGUGUCAGCCUUGUAUUGGUUCAGUAGGUCCUGACAAACUUGCAUACGGUGUUCUUUCUGCUCCUGUUUGAGCAUUUGUGGAGCCCACAUGAUGCAAAAUUUGCAGUAUUCCCAUGUUGUAAUAUUCCAACAUUGCCACCAUCAUUUGCAUCACAUUAAUGCCCACACUCAGCUUUGUACACAGUUCCCUGCUCAUAAUCUCCCAGUAUGCAUGGAUGAGCUGAUAGAGAUGCUCUUCAUUUCUUGAUGUGAUAGCUGUGCAUGGCCAUUCAGAACACGACCUAUCUUUGACGUCACUGUCAACACAGCUGAAACACAGCACUCACCACCUCACUGUCCCACAUCCACUGUUUGUUCUCCAGAAAUGUUCAGCAAGCAUUAACGAAUAUCAACGGGUGCAAUUUUUUUUUCUGUGUGGAGGAAUUCAGUGAUACACCUUUGCUUCAUAUGCACUUCCAUAUCAGACACCAUUGUGUCAGACUGUCCCUCUGCUGCCAUCUGUCACACGGCAACAACAUAGAAUGGAAUAUUGGCGGGAAGGCUCAGCCUCUACCACCACACCACCACCAUCUGCCUCUGAUGUUGUGGGCCAACAUAAUAAAAGAGGAGGCAUUACUUUUGGUGCAGACCUCGUGAUUAUGUCUUGUAACAAGAUGAGAGAUACAAGAUGUCCCAUCCAAUCUUGCUGUGUUUAUAUGUCAGGAAGACAUGCAUAACUCUACUAUCCAUGCCCUUUUCUUCUCCUUUCACAGGUUCCUCACUGAUGAUUGUUUACUGUCAGCUGCACGGAGUGUCCCCACUGUUUCCUAAUUCAUUUCCCCACGUUCUCCUACUGCCCUUGACUUGAUGGGUGUCUGGUAGUAGCCUGGUGCUGCUGGCAAGCUCAGGUGAUUCCCAGGUUCCCUUCUGGUGACAAAUGUGCCUCUUAGAUUCUCUCAUUUCCAGUUCCUGGCCACCUUGCCUUCCUUUUGCGGUGCCUUUUGUGGAUGCAGCUGCUUUCUGGAGCACGCUUGCUUUCUGGAGAUGAACAUCUUAUACCUCAAUCUUAUGUGCUGACAACAAAUACAGUGCAUGCCAAAAACGCUGUUGGAUCAAACCCUGCAAAAUGAUGCUUCCAACACGCUCAACAAUUCCAAUCCUACCCCUCUGGCAAUGGCAUGGGAAAAUGAAUGGGACUCUGUAAUCCUGGCUGUGUGCAAUCCAGUGUUUUUUCACAGUCUCUUGUGUUAUAUUCAGGAAGUACGGAGGGUUAAUCUCAGAGGAUAAUACAAUUAUAUCAAGGGUUUACAUUGACUUUUUGUCCAUAAGAAGGCUCUAAAAAUUGUACAGAACCAGGAACACGUUGCAUUUUCCCACGGAUUUUUAAUUGUACGCUUGAUAUGCAUUCUAUUUAUUUUGAUUAAUCGCCAUUAUUUAAGUUAGAAAUGAUCCUUCAGCCGACAGCCCAGCACGAAGGGAGGGAAGACACCGUCAAGGCGGCCCCGCUCGUGUGGUGGGCGCCGGGGAGCGGCCCCUCGGAGGAGGCCCUUCCCCGAAGCCAAAGCUUUGCGGGUGCUUCGCCCGCAGCCACUGGAGGGCAGUAAAUGACCUGAAUAUGCUUUUUUUCCCUGCUUUUAUCUGUUUUUUUAAUCGUUCCGUUUCCUUUCCACCCGGCUCCUAUCUUGUCAAGAAAUAAAAAUUUGACGCUGAU
This is a long non-coding RNA of Gallus gallus (chicken), 4488 nucleotides long. The record is from Ensembl. Lineage: Eukaryota; Metazoa; Chordata; Aves; Galliformes; Phasianidae.